AUUGAACGCUGGCGGCAGGCUUAACACAUGCAAGUCGAGCGAGCGGCGGACGGGUGAGUAAUGUCUGGGGAUCUGCCCGAUAGAGGGGGAUAACUACUGGAAACGGUAGCUAAUACCGCAUACUAUCGGAUGAACCAAGAUGGGAUUAGCUAGUAGGUGGGGUAAAGGCUCACCUAGGCGACGAUCGCUAGCUGGUCUGAGAGGAGGAUCAGCCACACUGGAACUGAGACACGGUCCAGACUCCUACGGGAGGCAGCAGUGGGGAAUAUUGCACAAUGGGCGCAAGCCUGAUGCAGCCAUGCCGCGUGUAUGAAGAAGGCCUUCGGGUUGUAAAGUACUUUCAGCGGGGAGGCGUUACCCGCAGAAGAAGCACCGGCUAACUCCGUGCCAGCAGCCGCGGUAAUAC
This 406-nucleotide ribosomal RNA is filed under the name uncultured bacterium. RNAcentral's name for it is "partial 16S ribosomal RNA". It matches the Rfam family "Bacterial small subunit ribosomal RNA", at positions 30 to 526 of the family's 1533-position model. The record is from RNAcentral.